AGGGGUGAAAGGCCAAUCAAGCUCGGAGAUAGCUGGUUCUCCCCGAAAUAUAUUUGGGUAUAGCCUCAGGUAAUUGUCUCCAGGAGGUAGAGCACUGGAUGGGCUAGGGGCCUCACCAGGUUACCGAACCCAACCAAACUCCGAAUUCCUGCGAGAUCUAUCCUGGGAGUCAGUGGUCGGGCGAUAAUGUCCGUCUGCGAGAGGGAAAGACCCCAGACCGUCAGCUAAGGCCCCCAAAUCCGUGCUAAGUGAGAAAGGAUGUGGAUGUGCUCAGACAGCUAGGAGGUUGGCUUAGAAGCAGCAAUGCCUUUAAAGAGUGCGUAAUAGCUCACUAGUCAAGUGGAUCCGCGCCGAUAAUGGUCGGGACUCAAGCACGGUGCCGAAGCUACGGAUGGCGCAAGCCAUGGUAGGGGAGCAUUCCCUGGUCAGCGAAGCGGACUCGGAAGAGCAUCCGUGGAGAGCAGGGAAGAGAGUAUGCCGGAAUGAGUACGCGAUAAACAGAGUGAGAAUCUCUGUCACCGAAAGCCUAAGGGUUCCGGAGCCAGGCUUAUCCGCUCCGGGUUAGUCGGUCCCUAAGCCGAGGCCGAAGGGCGUAGGCGAUGGGAAACAGGUUAAUAUUCCUGUACCGUUCAGGUAGCGUUCGACCAUGAGGGGGGACGCGGAAGUGACAGGACCGUCGGGUGGUGGAAUAUCCGAUGUAAGGUGGUAGGCGAUGAGAGGGGAGAAAAGACCUCUUUAGCCGAGCGCCGAUGCCGAAGGGACAACAAGUCCUGCAAAGGGUCCGUAACCAUGCCGCCGAGAAAAGCCUCGCAUGGGAGGUGCCUGGGCGACCGUACCGUAAACGGACACACGUAGGCGAGGCGAGUAGCCUAAGGUGCUCGAGUGAUCCGCGGAGAAGGAACUCGGCAAAAUGUCCCCGUAACUUCGGGAGAAGGGGAGCCUGCAUUAGGUGAACCACGACGCGUGGGGAGCCGACCCAGGCCGCAGAGAAUCGGCCCAAGCGACUGUUUAUUAAAAACACAGGUGUCUGCAAAGUCGGUCAAGACGACGUAUAGGCACUGACGCCUGCCCGGUGCCGGAAGGUUAAAGGGAGGUGUUAGGGGCAACCCGAAGCUCCGAACUGAAGCCCCGGUAAACGGCGGCCGUAACUAUAACGGUCCUAAGGUAGCGAAAUUCCUUGUCGGGUAAGUUCCGACCUGCACGAAUGGCGUAACGACUUGGGCGCUGUCUCCUCCGCGAGCUCGGCGAAAUUGGAGUAUCGGUGAGGAUACCGAUUACCCGCGACAGGACAAAAAGACCCCGUGCACCUUUACUGCAGCCUGUCAUUGGGUCUUGGCUUUGCAUGUGUAGGAUAGGUGGGAGACUGUGAACCGUUCUCGCCAGGGGACGGGGAGUCGUUGGUGAAAUACCACCCUUACAAUGUUGAGGCUCUAACCCAGGGGAGUGAAUCCUCCUCGGGAACAGUGGCAGGUGGGUAGUUUGACUGGGGCGGUCGCCUCCCAAAGAGUAACGGAGGCGCGCAAAGGUUCCCUCAGCGCGGUCGGCAAUCGCGCGAAGAGUGCAAAGGCAUAAGGGAGCUUGACUGUGAGACCGACGGGUCGAGCAGGAACGAAAGUUGGCCUUAGUGAUCCGGCGGUUCCGAAUGGAAGGGCCGUCGCUCAACGGAUAAAAGGUACGCCGGGGAUAACAGGCUUAUCGCCCCCGAUAGUUCACAUAGACGGGGCGGUUUGGCACCUCGAUGUCGGCUCAUCGCAUCCUGGGGCCGGAGAAGGUCCCAAGGGUCGGGCUGUUCGCCCGUUAAAGCGGUACAUGAGCUGGGUUUAGAACGUCGUGAGACAGUUCGGUCUGUAUCCGUCGUGGGCGUUGGAGUAUUGAGGGGAGCUGCUCCUAGUACGAGAGGACCGGAGUGGACUGACCACUCGUGUACCGGCUGUUCCGCCAGGGGCAUCGCCGGGUAGCGACGUCGGGAAGGGAUAACCGCUGAAAGCAUCUAAGUGGGAAGCCCCCCCCAAGAUGAGUACUCCCGGGACCCCUCGGGGUCCGCGAAGGGCCGUGCGAGACUAGCACGUUGAUAGGCGGCAAGUGGAAGCGUGGUGACACGUGCAGCUGAGCCGUACUAAUGGCCCGAGAGGCUUGACCAG
This 2141-nucleotide ribosomal RNA is filed under the name Gemmatimonadota bacterium. RNAcentral's name for it is "partial 23S ribosomal RNA". It matches the Rfam family "Bacterial large subunit ribosomal RNA", at positions 817 to 2925 of the family's 2925-position model. Lineage: Bacteria; Pseudomonadati; Gemmatimonadota. The record is from RNAcentral.